RNAcentral lists this ribosomal RNA (943 nucleotides) under Klebsiella sp. PK-26. RNAcentral's name for it is "bacterial SSU rRNA". It matches the Rfam family "Bacterial small subunit ribosomal RNA", at positions 29 to 968 of the family's 1533-position model. The record is from RNAcentral. Lineage: Bacteria; Pseudomonadati; Pseudomonadota; Gammaproteobacteria; Enterobacterales; Enterobacteriaceae.
CAGAACAUGGCGCAGGCUACACAUGCAGUCGAGCGGUAGCACAGAGAGCUUGCUCUCGGGUGACGAGCGGCGGACGGGUGAGUAAUGUCUGGGAAACUGCCUGAUGGAGGGGGAUAACUACUGGAAACGGUAGCUAAUACCGCAUAACGUCGCAAGACCAAAGUGGGGGACCUUCGGGCCUCAUGCCAUCAGAUGUGCCCAGAUGGGAUUAGCUAGUAGGUGGGGUAACGGCUCACCUAGGCGACGAUCCCUAGCUGGUCUGAGAGGAUGACCAGCCACACUGGAACUGAGACACGGUCCAGACUCCUACGGGAGGCAGCAGUGGGGAAUAUUGCACAAUGGGCGCAAGCCUGAUGCAGCCAUGCCGCGUGUAUGAAGAAGGCCUUCGGGUUGUAAAGUACUUUCAGCGGGGAGGAAGGCGAUAAGGUUAAUAACCUUGUCGAUUGACGUUACCCGCAGAAGAAGCACCGGCUAACUCCGUGCCAGCAGCCGCGGUAAUACGGAGGGUGCAAGCGUUAAUCGGAAUUACUGGGCGUAAAGCGCACGCAGGCGGUCUGUCAAGUCGGAUGUGAAAUCCCCGGGCUCAACCUGGGAACUGCAUUCGAAACUGGCAGGCUAGAGUCUUGUAGAGGGGGGUAGAAUUCCAGGUGUAGCGGUGAAAUGCGUAGAGAUCUGGAGGAAUACCGGUGGCGAAGGCGGCCCCCUGGACAAAGACUGACGCUCAGGUGCGAAAGCGUGGGGAGCAAACAGGAUUAGAUACCCUGGUAGUCCACGCCGUAAACGAUGUCGAUUUGGAGGUUGUGCCCUUGAGGCGUGGCUUCCGGAGCUAACGCGUUAAAUCGACCGCCUGGGGAGUACGGCCGCAAGGUUAAAACUCAAAUGAAUUGACGGGGGCCCGCACAAGCGGUGGAGCAUGUGGUUUAAUUCGAUGCAACGCGAAGAA